Molecule: ribosomal RNA, 460 nt
Filed under: uncultured bacterium
Lineage: Bacteria
Description: partial 16S ribosomal RNA
Rfam family: Bacterial small subunit ribosomal RNA
Source: RNAcentral
CCUACGGGUGGCAGCAGUGAGGAAUAUUGGUCAAUGGGCGCGAGCCUGAACCAGCCAAGUAGCGUGAAGGAUGACUGCCCUACGGGUUGUAAACUUCUUUUGUGGAGGAGUAAAGUGAGGCACGUGUGCCUUUUUGUAUGUACUUUAUGAGUAGGGAUCGGCUAACUCAGUGCCAGCAGCCGCGGUAAUACGGAGGAUCCGAGCGUUAUCCGGAGUUGUUGGGUUUAAAGGGAGCGUAGAUGGGCUGUUAAGUCAGUUGUGAAAGUUCGCGGCUCAACCGUAAAAUUGCAGUUGAUACUGGCAGUCUUGAGUACAGUUGAGGUAGGCGGAAUUCGUGGUGUAGCGGUGAAAUGCUUAGAGAUCACGAAGAAUUCCGAUUGCGAAGGCAGCUUACUAAACGGCCACUGACAUUGAUGCUCGAAAGCGUGGGUAUCAAACAGGAUUAGAUACCCCUGUAGUC